RNAcentral lists this ribosomal RNA (506 nucleotides) under uncultured bacterium. RNAcentral's name for it is "partial 16S ribosomal RNA". It matches the Rfam family "Bacterial small subunit ribosomal RNA", at positions 28 to 523 of the family's 1533-position model. The record is from RNAcentral.
GAUGAACGCUAGCUACAGGCUUAACACAUGCAAGUCGAGGGGUAACGAGAGGAAAGCUUGCUUUCCUUGUCGACGACCGGCGCACGGGUGAGUAACGCGUAUCCAACCUGCCCCCAACUAGGGAAUAACCUUGCGAAAGUAAGACUAAUACCCUAUAAUUUCCUCAGAUGUCAUCUGACGAGGAAUAAAGAUUUAUCGGUUGUGGAUGGGGAUGCGUGUGAUUAGCUUGUUGGCGGGGUAACGGCCCACCAAGGCAACGAUCCGUAGGGGUUCUGAUAGGGAGGUCCCCCACAUUGGGACUGAGACACGGUCCAAACUCCUACGGGAGGCAGCAGUGAGGAAUAUUGGUCAAUGGGCGGAAGCCUGAACCAGCCAAGUAGCGUGCAGGAUGACGGUCCGAUGGGUUGUAAACUGCUUUUAUACAGGAAUAAAGUUAGCCACGUGUGGUUAUUUGUAGGUACUGUAUGAAUAAGGACCGGCUAAUUCCGUGCCAGCCGCCGCCGUAA